RNAcentral lists this ribosomal RNA (466 nucleotides) under uncultured bacterium. RNAcentral's name for it is "SSU rRNA". It matches the Rfam family "Bacterial small subunit ribosomal RNA", at positions 1 to 462 of the family's 1533-position model. The record is from RNAcentral.
GGCUUAGAGUUUGAUCCUGGCUCAGAGUGAACGCUGGCGGCGUGCCUAACACAUGCAAGUUGAGCGAGCUUUUGCAGAGUNCCGCAAGAGUUAGCGGCAAACGGGUGAGUAACACGUAGGAAACCUGCCCUAAAGAGGAGAAUACCUUCGAGAAAUCGAGGUUAAUACUCCAUAAGACCACAUCCCGGCAUCGGGAAGAGGUCAAAGGCCCGCAAGGGCCGCUUUGGGAUGGUCCUGCGUCCUAUCAGCUAGUUGGUGAGGUANCGGCCCACCAAGGCUUUGACGGGUAGCCGGCCUGAAAGGGCGAUCGGCCACACUGGAACUGAGACACGGUCCAGACUCCUACGGGAGGCAGCAGUGGGGAAUUUUGGACAAUGGGCGAAAGCCUGAUCCAGCGACGCCGCGUGGAGGACGAAGGUCUUCGGAUUGUAAACUCCUUUUGGAGGGGACGAAGUCCGUCGUAGGC